RNAcentral lists this ribosomal RNA (1000 nucleotides) under uncultured organism. RNAcentral describes it as "bacterial SSU rRNA". It matches the Rfam family "Bacterial small subunit ribosomal RNA", at positions 356 to 1376 of the family's 1533-position model. The record is from RNAcentral.
GGGGGAUAUUGCGCAAUGGGGGCAACCCUGACGCAGCAACGCCGCGUGAAGGAUGAAGGUUUUCGGAUUGUAAACUUCUUUUAUUAAGGACGAAAAAUGACGGUACUUAAUGAAUAAGCUCCGGCUAACUACGUGCCAGCAGCCGCGGUAAUACGUAGGGAGCAAGCGUUGUCCGGAUUUACUGGGUGUAAAGGGUGCGUAGGCGGCUUUGCAAGUCAGAUGUGAAAUCUAUGGGCUCAACCCAUAAACUGCAUUUGAAACUGUAGAGCUUGAGUGAAGUAGAGGCAGGCGGAAUUCCCCGUGUAGCGGUGAAAUGCGUAGAGAUGGGGAGGAACACCAGUGGCGAAGGCGGCCUGCUGGGCUUUAACUGACGCUGAGGCACGAAAGCGUGGGUAGCAAACAGGAUUAGAUACCCUGGUAGUCCACGCUGUAAACGAUGAUUACUAGGUGUGGGGGGUCUGACCCCUUCCGUGCCGGAGUUAACACAAUAAGUAAUCCACCUGGGGAGUACGGCCGCAAGGUUGAAGCUCAAAGGAAUUGACGGGGGCCCGCACAAGCAGUGGAGUAUGUGGUUUAAUUCGAAGCAACGCGAAGAACCUUACCAGGUCUUGACAUCCAACUAACGAAGUAGAGAUACAUUAGGUGCCCUUCGGGGAAAGUUGAGACAGGUGGUGCAUGGUUGUCGUCAGCUCGUGUCGUGAGAUGUUGGGUUAAGUCCCGCAACGAGCGCAACCCUUGCUAUUAGUUGCUACGCAAGAGCACUCUAAUAGGACUGCCGUUGACAAAACGGAGGAAGGUGGGGACGACGUCAAAUCAUCAUGCCCCUUAUGACCUGGGCUACACACGUACUACAAUGGAUGUUAACAGAGGGAAGCAAGACAGCGAUGUGGAGCAAACCCCUAAAAACAUUCUCAGUUCAGAUUGCAGGCUGCAACCCGCCUGCAUGAAGAUGGAAUUGCUAGUAAUCGCGGAUCAGCAUGCCGCGGUGAAUACGUUCCCG